This 253-nucleotide ribosomal RNA is filed under the name uncultured bacterium. RNAcentral describes it as "partial 16S ribosomal RNA". It matches the Rfam family "Bacterial small subunit ribosomal RNA", at positions 524 to 776 of the family's 1533-position model. The record is from RNAcentral.
GACAUAGGUGGCAAACGUUAUCCGGAAUUAUUGGGCGUAAAGGGUGCGUAGGUGGCGUGGUAAGUUUGAUGUGAAAGCUCAGGGCUUAACCCUGAAAUGGCAUUGAAUACUACUGUGCUGGAGGUUUGGAGGGGGGACUGGAAUUCUUGGUGUAGCAGUGAAAUGCGUAGAUAUCAAGAGGAACACCAGUGGCGAAGGCGAGUCCCUGGACAACACCUGACACUGAGGCACGAAAGCUAGGGGAGCAAACAGG